UAUCUCUGUAGAGUCUGCAUAUCAAUAAGCGGAGGAAAAGAACCUAACAAGGAUUCCCUUAGUAACGGCGAGUGAAGCGGGAAGAGCUCAAAUUUGAAAUCUUCAAGGUUCUACCUUGACGAAUUGUAGUUUAUAGGAGUGUUUUCUGUAGUGGAAGUUUCGGUAAAAGUUCUUUGGAAUAGGACAUCAUAGAGGGUGAGAAUCCCGUAUUUGACCGUUAUUCCUCUAGCUGUGUGAUACACUUUCAAAGAGUCGGAUUGUUUGGGAAUGCAGUCCAAAAUGGGUGGUAAAUUUCAUCUAAAGCUAAAUAUUGGCGAGAGACCGAUAGCGAACAGGUACCGUGAGGGAAAGAUGAAAAGAACUUUGAAAAGAGAGUUAAACAGUACGUGAAAUUGUCAAAAGGGAAGCGUUUGACACCAGUGUUGUUUUCUCGAAAAUCAAUUAAAAAUAGCUUGAUUUUGUGUUGUAUUGACCUUAAAAGCUUUCUGCACUCUUUUCCUGUUAUUUUUAAUGCACUUUUCGUUUAACAAGUCAACAUCAGUUUCUUUUGUUGUAAAGAGGUCAUUGGAAGGUGGCUUUCACUUUCGGUAGAAAGUGUUUAUAGCCUUUGACUCCUGCAAUCGGAGAGACUGAGGUCUGCAGCGUAGAUCCUUUGGGAUUAGAUUACAUUUGUGCUAAGUUAUAGCUUUUAUAGACAACAUGUUGACUACGAUUAGUCAUUGUAGCUUACUCGCUUAUGCUAUUUUACCUACGCUUAGGAUGUUGAACGCGCACAGAGUCUC
This 782-nucleotide ribosomal RNA is filed under the name uncultured Neocallimastigales. Its description in RNAcentral is "partial large subunit ribosomal RNA". It matches the Rfam family "Eukaryotic large subunit ribosomal RNA", at positions 24 to 611 of the family's 3401-position model. Lineage: Eukaryota; Fungi; Neocallimastigomycota; Neocallimastigomycetes; Neocallimastigales. The record is from RNAcentral.